GCCUGCGGCGGGGCAGGGCCGGGGUUAGAGCCCUGGGGGGGCCCUGGGGGAGCACUACCGGGGGCGAGGAGGGGUCCCGAGGCACAUCCCGGGCAGGGAGCAGCGGGGACGGUGAGGAGGAGGAAAGGGGAUCACAGAGCUGGGGGAGGAGGAGAGCUGCAAAGACCUUGUUGGAACAACUACCUGACCUCCUGUGGUGCCUCAACCACCCAAUCCAGCACCAUUUGGACUCCAAAGGAAGGAGAAAUUCUGGCAUUAACCACAUCCAGCUUUGCCCUGGGCUGCCAUCCAAAAGGCAAAGGCCAAGUGAAGCCUGCAGCGGUGAAGUCGGCAAGGCAGAGAAGUCGUCCGGUGAUGUCCUCUUCCUUGG
This is a long non-coding RNA of Pogoniulus pusillus (Red-fronted tinkerbird), 370 nucleotides long. RefSeq lists it as uncharacterized. The record is from RefSeq and is a predicted model, not a curated record. The transcript has 3 exons. NCBI's taxonomy places the organism in Eukaryota, Metazoa, Chordata, Aves, Piciformes, Lybiidae.